CCUACGGGAGGCUGCAGUGGGGAAUAUUGCACAAUGGGGGAAACCCUGAUGCAGCGACGCCGCGUGAGUGAAGAAGUAUUUCGGUACGUAAAGCUCUAUCAGCAGGGAAGAAAAUGACGGUACCUGACUAAGAAGCCCCGGCUAACUACGUGCCAGCAGCCGCGGUAAUACGUAGGGGGCAAGCGUUAUCCGGAUUUACUGGGUGUAAAGGGAGCGUAGACGGCAGCGCAAGUCUGGAGUGAAAUCCCAUGGCUUAACCAUGGAACUGCUUUGGAAACUGUGCAGCUAGAGUGCAGGAGAGGUAAGCGGAAUUCCUAGUGUAGCGGUGAAAUGCGUAGAUAUUAGGAGGAACACCAGGGGCGAAGGCGGCUUACUGUACUGUAACUGACGUUGAGGCUCGAAAGCGUGGGGAGCAAACAGGAUUAGAUACCCUUGUAGUC
Molecule: ribosomal RNA, 440 nt
Filed under: uncultured bacterium
Lineage: Bacteria
Description: partial 16S ribosomal RNA
Rfam family: Bacterial small subunit ribosomal RNA
Source: RNAcentral